This 334-nucleotide unclassified non-coding RNA is filed under the name soil metagenome. Its description in RNAcentral is "partial contains 5.8S ribosomal RNA, internal transcribed spacer 2, and large subunit ribosomal RNA". The stretch from base 1 to 120 matches the Rfam family "5.8S ribosomal RNA", at positions 35 to 154 of the family's 154-position model. The record is from RNAcentral.
GAUGAAGAACGUAGUGAAAUGCGAUAAGUAAUGUGAAUUGCAGAAUUCAGCGAAUCAUCGAAUCUUUGAACGCACAUUGCGCCCCCCAGUAUUCUGGCGGGCAUGCCUGUUCGAGCGUCAUUUCAACCAUCAAGCCCUGCUUGUGUUGGGGUCCUGCGGCUGCCCGCAGGCCCUGAAAACCAGUGGCGGGCUCGCUAGUCACACCGAGCGCAGUAGCACAUCUCGCUCAGGGCGUGCGGCGGGCUCCAGCCGUUAAAGCACCCACCUUUCGCAAGGUUGACCUCGGAUCAGGUAGGAAUACCCGCUGAACUUAAGCAUAUCAAUAAGCGGAGGA